CAGCGGGCUCGGGUCGUCGGGCCGCGAGGACAGGGAAGACCAGAGCACCAGGAGCCCCAGGAAGCUUCCCACCACCAGCAAACUGCGGCUCCUUAAGGAGGUGGAUUUGUAACCGAAAGGCCCAGGUGAGAUGUGCAAAUACCAAAGAACUAAAGAGCGUUCCCUUGGAAAGACGGUAUUCCCUUUUCUCUUGAGCUCAUUAGAAAGCCAAGUCGGCUAGCUAAGACACCAUACCAUCCUUGUUGAUGAACUUGUAAGUUUCUACUCCGGGGAAAGCGAAUUUCGGGUUUUUGAAACAUUAUACACACGCACCAUUGCUUCCCUCACAGCUUGAUUUUUUUCCAGGAAAGGAUAUUGGCAAAUGUUUAGCUACACGCCUCUCCCUUGUUCAUUGUGCCAAAGAUGUCAAUCACUUUAUAUCACAGUCUACAGUGUGUGCCAUACUCCUAAACUAUCCAAUUUGUUGAACAAAUGCUUUUUGAUGGCAGGUUUUAGGACGGUGUAAAUUGACCUCUUUAAUCCUAGUAUUGCCUUGUCUGAGUCUAUUUUGCUUUAAAAACAAGUGAAACUUGGUUAUUUAGUUCACCGGGGUGAUCAGCAUUAUCAUAUGUACUUGCCUUGAGCCAGAGAUAGGUUUCCAUUAUUAGGAAAAUGGGAAGCUGACCCUUUAGGACUGUGAGCAUAGAUGGGCGGAUGCGUGGUGGAGAAGUGGUCCUCAUCACUGAAGUGAUGGGAGCCGCCCCUCGGCUGUCAGUAUUCCGAGGAGACCCUGCCACCACAACUUGAAAUAUGUUUGAAAGGCCAAAAAGAUAGAAACUGAUGAACAGGUCUACGGUUGUAAAAAGCCCACGUACCUCUGAGUUCUGAACAUUGUUUAAGAGAAACUGAAAGUAUACCUUAAAAUACAUGCUUUUCACCACAUUUGCUGGCUGGCAGGCAGCCUUUGUAGAGAACUCUUUAGAAAAUGAGAAGCUACAUUAAAUGAUUGGGUCAAGAAAAGUCACACUUAGCCUCUCUGAGCUUAGAGCCCUUAUCUGCCAAAAUCAUGAUGAUAAUACUUUACAAUAUUGUCAGAAGGAAUAAUGGGGGCCAAAUGCACAUGAAAAUACAAAGCACAGAUAAUGUGCUGGGGUAAGUCGUAGUGAUUAUGGGUAUAAUUCUUGUGAACGCCACAGUCAUUACUGUAUAUAGGGAUUGUUGCUCCGAGCUAUUGCUGACAUGUCGAUCCCUGAGUAAUGUCACUGAAGAAGCGAAUACCCCCCCUCCACUGUGCUAAUGGGGGAGGUACAGAGUAUGGACAACAAGGCAGUGGUCUCUGACAGGUUAUGAAGUCACAAGUCAAUGGUAGCAUGGUGCCUUCACCUCCGAGGCCAGCCGGGGCCUGAGAAGUAAAAUCACAAGGGAAUAGCAUUUCUGAGCAGGCAGUAUAUGCAGAAGGAUUCAUGUCAUUUAAGUUUCGUGUUGCCGGAGACUGGUGUUCGCUGUUCUUAGAAUUCGGAGCAGGUUUUCUCAUCUUGCCAACACGCACACCGUCCUUGCCAAACAAUACAAUCGCCUCAUGUUUAUUAUAUAAAUGCUUUCAGGAGUCCACAGGUCAGAACCUAAAGGUUUGGUGGUUUUUAAAAGUCGUCCCCACGUGAACUCUGCUGAAAGAGGAAACCCUCACAAGGAACCAAGCCCACCCUUGGGCUGCACGCCCCUGGGGCUUUCAGCAUGCCCCCUCAUCCUGUACCCAAGCUGGAGGUCUGUUUCUAAAUGCCACUGCUUGCCCUCAGGCCUUUGUACAGGGGUUUCUUUUCACCUGCACUAUCUUCUGACACCUCAACCUUAAGCUUCAAUGUCAGUUACAAAAGCUUUUUUCUAAACUCUUAUCAUGGACUCUACACCAAGAUAUUGGCCAGGUACGCUGCCUUCCACUCCAUUUCUCCCUAAUAAUUACUACUAUGUUUUGAUUGCUUAAUUUUCACUUGCAAGUAAAAAGUAACAUGAUGCCAGAGACUCGUCUAUGGAGAGUUUAUUAUAUUCUUGUAGCUGAUGUGUAAGAAGGUUUUUAAUAUUCUUUUGGAGGAACACUGAGUAAAUAACUGGAUUAAAGAUACAAAGGGAAAACAGAGCUUAGAAGAGGGCUUAGGAGCAUGUCAGUUUUGAUUGUUCUUUACCUAGAAGCUGCUUUUCCAAGAACAAAAUCUUGGAGGUUUUAUUUCAUUAGGUCAGUGAUUGUCUUACAGUAGUUGGUAUUUUGGUAAGCUGUUGUUUGUCUAUUGAUAGUCUACUGAGAGUACCUAGAUACUCCAUUGAUAGUCUACUGCAGCUACUUGAACUAAGAAAGUCAUAGUUUCAACUUAAAUUCAGAUCCCCCCCCAACACAGAUUACUAGUUCUGUCAUAAAAUUAAUAAUACUUGUAUUGUGCUCAUUCGGAAUGAAAACCUUGUCAAGGGCUGCCAUUCGAUGAGAUUAGUGAUCUCCUGUAGUGUUUUGAAGGCUAAAAUGCUGAUUUAAAGCCUCCUUUGAUUUCAUACUGUAGAAUACUACCUCUUCAUAGCUGGUUAGUCUCUGGAACACCUAUAAUUCAGAGGCUCUUCUGAUUUAGCCAUUUAUUUAAAAGGUCAUUGAAACACAUUUCGUCUCUCUUCAUUGGAACCCCACCACUAGCUCUCUGUUCCUCCUAGAAUUAAUCCUGAACGCCUUGGUUUGUCACAGAAGACUUCUGGGAGGAGGCAUAGCUUUGUAACUACUUGGUUACAAGGCUUUUCCAGUUGAAGUUACAGCCAUGUCCAUUUCUACUUCCAAAAUAGCUCAAAUUCCUUCUCACUUCUAGACUUUUGUGCAUAUCUCCUUUUUCCAGAAUACUCUUGGUGUUUUUUUACACCAACUGGCCCCAUUAAACUCUAUAAUUAUUCAAAUUUCUGUUCAUACACCAUAUUUUUUUUCCAGAACUUUUACUUGCCAAGGCCCUCCACUUCCUUGCUAGGUUGGGAAUUUUGCUUCCUGUAAGAGUGACUUGGAAGGUCCCGUUCUGAACAGAGCUCAGCCUUUGUAUUUGCUCAACUGUCACCUUAAUUAGACCAAGUUUUUAAAGGGGACGACUGUGUUGUCGUUUAGCAUUGCGUUCCUAGGAUGUUGACAAUGCCUUGCACAGAAGACGUGUUCAGUACAUGAGAGUGGACGGGAGAGAGUGUGUCUCAUGCAUUCACUGGUAAAACACCGAAAGAUUUGCACACAUCCUGUAAUAUAAUCAACUAAUAUCUUAAAAGACAAUUAUAUCUGAAUAUUUGCAAAAUAUUUUGUUAAAUCAAUUUUUUUUUUCUCAUUUAAAGAGUUGGGAAAGAAGAGAACAAUGUUCUAUACCUUAUCCAACCAACGUGCAUACUAUCAUUCCGAGAUAGUUCAUUCAAACUAACAAUCUGCUUGCUAAAAUGAAUAUAAGUUACCCAGAACCUGGGGCCUGCAAAAUGGAAAAAGGAGCCUGGUUUUUACUGAUGCUGAUAAUCAUAACUUUUUUUUUUUUUUUUUUUUUUUUAUGAAAUGGGUGGAAUGGAAAGAAACUUACAGUAAAAGGGCAGAGAACCCACCCUACCAUUUGGAGCUAGAGGUUUGACUAGAUUUAAGUUUCUAAUGUCCUUUUACAGAUUGGCUGAAGACUCAGGUUCUCAGCAGAAUGGUUAAGUGAUCAGAAAGUCUUCACAACUGAACUUUGUCAAGGUAUUACUGUAAAUCCUGUUCCAGUGUGUGCAUAUAAACGCCUGCGUCGGCGAGCAGACAAGUAGCUUCAGACAGCUGUCAGUGUAUUAUCGCAUCCUCCAGAGAUCUUGCUUAGUCGGCUGUGCCCUGAACCUCCCUGUCUUUAGUGGGCAGAUCUGAUACCUAUAAGACAAACCAGUUUCUGUCUUGUUAAUACCGGUAAUCUCUUAGACACAGGGUGCAACCGUUCCACAGUGAGUAGAUUGGAAAGAAACACUGUCAGUAAAAGGGCCAGAGAAUCCACACUCACAGUUUGUAAAAUGAGAGAUAUGGCUAGGCCAUAUUGGGCAGAGCCUUGAUAUUCAGGGUCUCUGGAGGGAUGGGAAGGCUGUUGAGACUGGGAGGAGUGGGAGGGUCAAUUCUGGCUCCUCUACAAGAGCUGAUGGGAACAAUAGAGAAGUAUUUCACACUUAGCAACGUUUGUGAUUAGUUUUAACAAGAGUGAGGUAUUCUUAGUAAUGAACCAUUCCUAUAAGCCUUUUUAGACAUUUCAGAGGAGAUAAACAGAGCUGAAUACAAAUAAAGAAAUCUGAAGCCAGGCUGCAGAGAGAUUCUGCAGGAAGAUUAUCCCAAAUCCAGGAAUUAGAGGCUGGACAGGAACUCAUUAUCUGUCGAUCCAACCCUUCUGCUUCCCGAUGCUCUGCUGCAUCUCACUGGGGUACAGAAAUCUCCUCUUUUCUCCAGCUAUUUUCUAACAACUGAACAGUGAACAAGUAUAUUUUCCCUCUUAUUUGAACACACGGCUCUAUAUUAAAUGACUGUUUGGAGAGUCACACCAGGGACUUGGGCAGCAAAAGUACUGCUCUUCCAGGGAGUUCACCAUACUGUCAUUUAGAUAAAGGUGCCUUUCUGGAAUAUUGCAAAGAAUUUCAAAAUUUGAAUUUUAAUUACAUUUCUUUUGUGGAGAGCAGUCUUUGAGGAUUUGGCCUUUUGGGAUGGCUUCUGUUUCAGCACACCAUAGAAAACAAUUUUUAACAAACCGAGUCCUUCUCUGUGAUCUUUUAUUGUAUAUUAAUAGCUAUUUCUAUUUACUCAAAGCACUUUUUUGUGCGUGUAUCACGUGUUGGCCACUGUUCAAGACACAGGGGAUAUAGCAAUAAACUAAAAGAACAAUAAUCCCAGUCCUCGUGGAGUCAGAUAAUAAAUUGCGUGUAUAAAUCAUUAUAUGUUGUUACCAAAUAAACUGCUGCCUCACUCGUGUGCCAAGAGUCUAUGAAGAUUGACUCACAGACUUAGAGAGUACCUUAGAAGGUGUCUAUGAUGGAGAGAAACAGCCAAGGAGUGUAAUUUGGAAUGCUGGAUGGGCAUGAAGAGAGGUUUGUAUUUUAAACAGCUGGAGUAGAUCUCCUUGAGAAGAUGACAUUUGAACAAGCCCUGAAUGGGGGAUUUGGGACAGAGCUAAAUAAGAAGAGAUAGCACCGGGGUUGGGGCUUUAGCUCAGUGGUAGAGCGUGUACCUAGCAAGCACAAAGCCCUGGGUUCUGUCCUCAGCUCUGAAAAAGAAGAAGAGAUAGCAUCAAGCACAAGGAACAGUAUGUGAAGGCCCUAGGGCAGGAGUGUUUCUUCUCACCAUGGCAUGGGAAGCCUUAGGAGGUUUACUGCGAGGUGGUGUGAUUUAACAUACCUAAAUCAGACCACAGCCUCUGGCUUCUGGGUUGGAUAUGCAAAGCAGCAAAGCUAAAA
This is a long non-coding RNA of Peromyscus leucopus (white-footed mouse), 5424 nucleotides long. RefSeq lists it as uncharacterized. The transcript has 2 exons. NCBI's taxonomy places the organism in Eukaryota, Metazoa, Chordata, Mammalia, Rodentia, Cricetidae. The record is from RefSeq and is a predicted model, not a curated record.